GUCUUUUGUUCGUCGGCAGGUGCAGGAAGUUGUGUAUACAGUUUACUACACACAGCGCCUGACACCGAGCGGAGUUGCUGCGCCUUGACAAGUCGCAGCGCAUCGUAGCUGAAAAUCGAAGCCCACUUGGUCGCCGUGCCCAAUGUUGGAUCGCGGGUCAAAUGCUUCUGUAUUUUCAACUGGUAGCGCUCACUGUACUGUUUUUAGUCAGUGAAACGCUGGGAAGCGCUUCUGACAGCGAUGGGAUCAUCGCCUUUCCCGUACGGCCUGCCGUGCGACCGACGAAGUUCACGAGCCUCGAAGGCCAAGCCAUCGAAGGCGCAGCCGCUGAGGGCUUCAUUGCGAAAGUGUACCUCGGAACACCUCCACAACACAUAAACUUAUACGUAGA
Molecule: long non-coding RNA, 391 nt
Organism: Rhipicephalus microplus (southern cattle tick)
Lineage: Eukaryota; Metazoa; Arthropoda; Arachnida; Ixodida; Ixodidae
Source: RefSeq, a predicted model, not a curated record